This 383-nucleotide ribosomal RNA is filed under the name Cellulomonas sp. 007-3.1-CV-A-07. RNAcentral's name for it is "bacterial SSU rRNA". It matches the Rfam family "Bacterial small subunit ribosomal RNA", at positions 48 to 430 of the family's 1533-position model. The record is from RNAcentral. Lineage: Bacteria; Bacillati; Actinomycetota; Actinomycetes; Micrococcales; Cellulomonadaceae.
UUAACACAUGCAAGUCGAACGGUGAAGCCCAGCUUGUUGGGUGGAUCAGUGGCGAACGGGUGAGUAACACGUGAGUUACCUGCCCCUGACUCUGGGAUAGGCCUUGGAAACGUGGUCUAAUACCGGAUACGUGACGCUCGGGCAUCCGAAGUGUCUGGAAAGAUUUAUCGGUCAGGGAUGGACUCGCGGCCUAUCAGCUUGUUGGUGGGGUAGUGGCCCACCAAGGCGACGACGGGUAGCCGGCCUGAGAGGGCGACCGGCCACACUGGGACUGAGACACGGCCCAGACUCCUACGGGAGGCAGCAGUGGGGAAUAUUGCACAAUGGGCGCAAGCCUGAUGCAGUGACGCCGCGUGUGCGAUGAAGGCCUUCGGCUUGUUACC